AACGAACGCUGGCGGCAUGCCUAACACAUGCAAGUCGAACGAGACCUUCGGGUCUAGUGGCGCACGGGUGCGUAACGCGUGGGAAUCUGCCCUUGGGUUCGGAAUAACAGUUAGAAAUGACUGCUAAUAUCGGAUGAUGACGUAAGUCCAAAGAUUUAUCGCCCAAGGAUGAGCCCGCGUAAGAUUAGCUAGUUGGUAGGGUAAAGGCCUACCAAGGCUACGAUCUUUAGCUGGUCCGAGAGGAUGAUCAGCCACACUGGGACUGAGACACGGCCCAG
This 278-nucleotide ribosomal RNA is filed under the name uncultured bacterium. RNAcentral's name for it is "partial 16S ribosomal RNA". It matches the Rfam family "Bacterial small subunit ribosomal RNA", at positions 29 to 334 of the family's 1533-position model. The record is from RNAcentral.